RNAcentral lists this transfer RNA (77 nucleotides) under Deltaproteobacteria bacterium. Its description in RNAcentral is "tRNA-Arg". It matches the Rfam family "tRNA". From Rfam's summary of the family: Transfer RNA (tRNA) molecules are approximately 80 nucleotides in length. Their secondary structure includes four short double-helical elements and three loops (D, anti-codon, and T loops). The record is from RNAcentral. Lineage: Bacteria; Pseudomonadati; Myxococcota; Myxococcia.
GCCCCAGUAGCUCAGCAGGAUAGAGCGGCGGUUUCCUAAACCGUAGGUCGGAUGUUCAAGUCAUCCCGGGGACGCCA